RNAcentral lists this unclassified non-coding RNA (2139 nucleotides) under Trichogramma pretiosum. RNAcentral describes it as "e3 ubiquitin-protein ligase Hakai-like, transcript variant X1". Lineage: Eukaryota; Metazoa; Arthropoda; Insecta; Hymenoptera; Trichogrammatidae. The record is from RNAcentral.
CCGCUCCACACACACGCGCGCGCGGCCGUGUGUUCCGAUGUGUACAUAUUAUUAUUAGAAUAUGUGUUGCCCGAAAAAUGAUGUAGAUCGGAGUCGCGAGUCAAUCUUUUGAGAUUUUUCGAGUGCUAUAUCGUUCGCGCCGUGCGUGUCAGGCUGCGGUGCCGUGCGUAUUGCACUUCUGAUUUGUGUUUAUAAGUUCGAGACAGGACCGAAAGCGGUACUGCUCUGCACUGUGUGUUGGCUGUGUGUGUGUGUUGUCGUCGUGUAUGUCGCCGUGACAUAACCUUUUGCGCGAUUAACCAAAGACCGAGCGAAUUCGAUUGAAUUUUUUGAUAGACACGCACAAGUAACGCAAACUGUUAAUCGGCGUAGUGCGUACACAAGUGAGCUCCCAAUUUAAAGUAUUUGGGAGUGUUUUUUUAUAUGACAAAUCCAUUUCUGAUGGAAGUUCCUGUUAGUUCGUUUUGUUUUCUGUGAAAGAUCGAUUUUUCCUGUUAGGGAGAAAAAUUGCUACCAUUUUCUACUAUUCUUUUUUUAUUUGUACAGUAUUUAUUAGUUAAGUUUCAACUCAUACUCAAAAAUGGAAGUUGAAGAAAAUGGGAAAAAAAGUAAAAGCAAAUCGAGUAAAUCUCGCAGUAAAACUACGAGAGGACGAGGACGCACCAAAGGUCGUACUAAGAAAGCUGUAAAAGUAAUCGAGAGCGACGAUGACGAUGUUCCUCAAAACACAGAUGAAAAUGCCAUGGACACCACCAAUCCAUCCCCAGAGUCACAAGAAACACCUGCCUCAAAUCAAAAUCAACAAAGCCAACAGUCGCAUCCUCCUGCACAACAAACGGUGCAAUCUGUUGUACCAAAUCAAUCACCGAUCGAACAAACUCAGCAAUUUGAUUUGGAAGCAGAUAUAUCCCAGUUAGAAGCACCUACAUUUACUACUAUAAAUAGGGGACCACCAGAACCCAUGUUAAGAUUAAGAUGGGAUCAUCGUGUUAAUUUGAUUGGUGAAAAAGUGUUGAAUCCUAUGAUACAUUGCUGUGAUAAGUGUCUCAAGCCAAUUCUUAUUUAUGGACGAAUGAUACCUUGUAAACAUGUAUUUUGUUUACUUUGUGCGAAAAAAGAAGAAAAAGCAUGUCCAAGGUGUAAUGAAAAAGUUGCUAGGGUUGAACAGACAGGUCUUGGUACUGUAUUUAUGUGCACCCAUGGGGGAUCAAGAUAUGGUAACAAUGGUUGUCGUAGGACAUACCUUAGUCAAAGGGAUUUACAGGCUCACAUCAAUCAUCGGCAUGUAUCAGCUCCACCACCUCAACAAGUUCAAGCGAUGCCAUUGGACAAUUCAACAUCUUAUAUUCAACACAAAGGGUCUGAUCUUAUGGAUCCAAUGAUGAAAAUGAAUAUGCAAAAUAAUCGUAUGAAGACAAUGAGUGGACCUCCUUCACAUAAUUUGAUGGGUAAUGAUCCUCGAGUCAAUGCUGGAGACCACAGACAAGGAAGACAUUAUUCUCAAACUACUUCUACAACUUCUAAUGCCAUGAGAUCAAAUUUAAUAACAGUGCCAAUUCAGGAUACAAGUUCUAUGGAAAUGCAAAAUCAAACACAACAGCAAUCUCAGAGUCAUCAUUAUUAUCACUCCGACAAUCACCCUAAUGCAGGCAUGACAGCAAGGUGGGUCCUUGCUUGUCGAGCUGAAACUGAAAUGAGACAUCGUAAAUCUGGUGGAAAAGGAAAAAUUUGAUAGUAGUGAUAUUGGAAAAUGAACAAGUACCAUUUUCAAUAUUAAAUCAUGAUAAAAAUACUGUCAAAUUUUGUUCUUUUUCAUCUGAGGUGUUGAAAGUUUUUCAUCUCAACAGAUGAAACUUAGUUUUACAUUAUAACAUAUUAAGAUAUGUUUAGUUAGAAUUUCCUGCUGAAUUAGUCAUUUCUAUAUUAGAUUCUGUACAUUAUGCUUUCUUUUGUCAAAGCACUGGUUGAAUUUUACACGUUAUAUUUUUAAAAUUACUAUAAAACUGUAGAAAAAUAGAAAAUAAUUAUUAAGAAGCCAUUUUAUCUGGACGAUAUUAACUGUGAAUUAUACUAAUUCUUCAAUAAACAUUUAUAUUAGACUAUUCUGACAGGCAUGUUGUUAUGACUAAUCAGGCACCA